GGCUCAGAAAGAACGCUGGCGGCGUGCUCACACAUGCAAGUCGAACGAACCUUCGGGUUAGUGGCGGACGGGUGAGUAACGCGUGAGAAUCUGCCCUCAGGAGGGGGAUAACGGUUGGAAGCGACCGCUAAUACCCCAUAUGCCGAGAGGUGAAAAGAAAUUCGCCUGAGGAUGAGCUCGCGUCUGAUUAGCUAGUUGGUGUGGUAAUGGCGCACCAAGGCUUCGAUCAGUAGCUGGUCUGAGAGGAUGAUCAGCCACACUGGGACUGAGACACGGCCCAGACUCCUACGGGAGGCAGCAGUGGG
Molecule: ribosomal RNA, 305 nt
Filed under: uncultured bacterium
Lineage: Bacteria
Description: bacterial SSU rRNA
Rfam family: Bacterial small subunit ribosomal RNA
Source: RNAcentral